This is a long non-coding RNA of Gorilla gorilla gorilla (western lowland gorilla), 2334 nucleotides long. RefSeq lists it as uncharacterized. The record is from RefSeq and is a predicted model, not a curated record. The transcript has 3 exons. Lineage: Eukaryota; Metazoa; Chordata; Mammalia; Primates; Hominidae.
GAUAAAAAAUAACCCUGUAUUUAUGCAAAUUGCAAAGUAGCGUGUGAUAAUGAAAACAAAACAGUGCUGGCCCGCAGCCAAGACAUGGCGCUGACGGGAGCUCCCCGACCAUUUGGCUCUUGAUUCUUCGGGGAAAGCAGCUGUAGAGAAAUGAGAAUACAGGACCCCCUCCUCACACGCGCACACCCGGGUUCGCACGCAUUCCGGUACCCGUCACCUCGGAGCCAGCGAGACCUGGGAUCCAAAUGCGGUUCUGCCUCCUCCGGCCGUGGAGCACUGCAGUGUCGUCCUCCACGAGCCUCCCUGCCCCUGCUCCUGAUUCCCUUUCAGGAAUUUACAAACAUUUUCCCCAGAUCAAUAUCCGUAUUGAUUAUUCAUUGUGAGUGAGUCGUGUGUCUUUGGUGAUCCAGCUUGCAGAGGUAGCAGGCAAAGGCUGCUGCGGGGAAAAAAAAUAACAGAAGGCGAGAGGGACCCAGCUCUUGCUGGGUCUACGGCUGUCGGCAACACAGAAGGGAAGAGAAAAAGAGAAAAGCACCUCAAAACCAAGGAAUGGACACGGGUGGAAGAGAAAGAGGGAGCAAUAGCAAGAAAAAAGGAAUCGAUGACUGGACAUCUGGUCCCAGGGAAUCUCGAUGGCUUGGAGGAAACCCCCAUCUUGGGUCUGCUGUUACGUGCAGGACGCAAUGGACUUUGCUCUGGGAGUGCAAAGUGACUCACAGUUUUGGUAUCUCCUACGUAAGAGCUUUGGGGGGAUUCCUUGGCUUGCUGACAGGCAAGGAAGACAGCGGCAGCAGUGAGGUAAAACACGAUUACUUCCAACUGCCUUGCGGAGGAGGCGCAGUCGUGCGGUGUGACUUGAACAGCUUGCUGCUCUCUGACGGCACGCGGAGGGAGAAUAAUUAAAAAGGCCAGCAUCACUUACUAAGACCUUGACAUUUUUGAAGAGUGCUGGACAGAGUUUCACUCUUGUUGCCCAGGCUGGAGUGCAACAGCACAAUCUCGGCUCACCGCAACCUCCGCCUCCCGGGUUCAAGUGAUUCUCCUGCCUCAGCCUCUUGAGUAGCUGGGAUUACAGGGAUGCACCACCACGCUCGGCGAAUUUUGUAUUUUUAGCAGAGACAGGGUUUCUUCAUGUUGGUCAGACUGGUCUCAAACUCCUGACCUCAGGUGAUCCACCCGCCUUGGUCUCCCAAAGUGCUGGGAUUACAGGCGUGAGCUACUGCACCCAGCCCUGUGAUUCUUUUAUGACUUAACUUCUCCAUCUGUAAUAUGGUAUAAUAACAUCACUAACCCAUAUAGCAGAGAAAAUGAAACUGAAGCAGUAGAAAUAAGAGAAGCAGUCUAAAAACACAAAGUGCCAGGCUACUGUGACUAUUAAUAAUGCCACAUUUUCACAUUUAAGUGAAUUUAAUCAAUAUUUGUGAAUGAAAGAAUGAAUGGAUGGAUGGGUAAAGUUAUAGGAGAACAAAGAUGGGAGGAGAAUUAGGUUGAAUUGCUUGAGUUUCAAGAAAAACCUUUUAAAAGCACAGGAAUAAAUUUAAGGAGCAGACUUAAGGUAGACAGAUUGUGUUAAUACAUUUUGUGAUCCCAUACUUCACAUAAGAAUUGUGAUACUCCAGGGAAGCAACACAGCCUAGCAGCUGAUGCCAUGGCUUUUAGAGUCAGGAAACUUACAUUCAUAGUCCAACUCUGCCACACUAGUUGUGUGACCUGGAGCAAGUUACAAGUUAUUCAACCUCUAUCUGCCUCAGUUUCCUCUAGAGCUAGAAGGGUUCUCAGAGGUGAUCUAAUAUGUGUCUCUUAUUUUCCAGAUGAUGAGACAAGGUAAAAAAGGGCUUGAGGAGACAAAGUGGUUGCCCAAGGUGGCAUCAUCAACCAGAAGCAGAUUCGGCCCUAGAACAUAGGAGGUAGACUGCAGACAGGCACAAAUUCCUUGCAGCUCCUCUCAUCAAGAAAAAGACUGUUUUUCUAUACCCCUUUAACGUAGUGAAAAUGAAGUUGUGUGAGAGUCAAGCCUGGAUUGUAAGGGGUCUUUGAGUUUCCUUCUGCUCCUCUCACUCUUGGAAUGCUGCUGCCAUGUGAAAAAAACCGGGGUUAGUCUGUGGGAGGAUGAGAGACCACAUGGAGCAGAGACAAGAAUCCCCGAGGAAGCCCUCCCAUGCCAAUCAGCUGGCCGAUUGCCAGACAUGUGAGUGAGGGGCCCCAGAGCUCCCAGACCCAACCAAGCCACCAGCAGGCUACAGAAACCCACUGAGUUGGUUCAGAUUAGAAGAGCUACCCUAGCCAUCCAGCCAUCCCAGCCACCCCAAGGAACCAUGAGAUAAAUCAAUAAAA